RNAcentral lists this transfer RNA (77 nucleotides) under Anaeromonas frigoriresistens. RNAcentral describes it as "tRNA-Arg". It matches the Rfam family "tRNA". Rfam says of the family: Transfer RNA (tRNA) molecules are approximately 80 nucleotides in length. Their secondary structure includes four short double-helical elements and three loops (D, anti-codon, and T loops). Lineage: Bacteria; Bacillati; Bacillota; Tissierellia; Tissierellales; Thermohalobacteraceae. The record is from RNAcentral.
GCGCCUAUAGCUCAACUGGAUAGAGUGUCUGACUACGAAUCAGAAGGUUGGGGGUUCAAGUCCUCCUGGGCGCACCA